CUCCUGAAAUCCCGGAUCCCUGCUCUCCUCUUUCCUGCUUCAGCCUGUUGCUGGUGGGCCUUUGUUUCCCAGUUCUGUGCCUGUUGUAUUCUGGAUUGCGCCUGUGCACACGAGGCAGCAGUUUUUUCUGUCCAUUCAAGCCACCCAACAGGAUGCAAGUGAGGAAAGGCGAGGAUACAGGUACCAUGUCACAUGGAAAACUCAUCAAUGAACCUGGAGAUGACAAAAGGAGAGCCUGGAGACCAGGUCUGGAGGGCCAGGAGGAAAAGCUCAACUAGAAAGUGAAAGAGAACACAGGGACAGAGUGUCCCCCACAUCGAUGACUGCAAAACUGAAAAUAAGCUGUGUGUUUCUCUGGACCACAAGCAAUGCCUGCUGCUUUGGAAGAAUUCAGAAGUUGCGAUGCUG
Long non-coding RNA from Hipposideros armiger (great roundleaf bat), 408 nucleotides. RefSeq lists it as uncharacterized. NCBI's taxonomy places the organism in Eukaryota, Metazoa, Chordata, Mammalia, Chiroptera, Hipposideridae. The transcript has 4 exons. The record is from RefSeq and is a predicted model, not a curated record.